RNAcentral lists this ribosomal RNA (610 nucleotides) under uncultured bacterium. RNAcentral describes it as "bacterial SSU rRNA". It matches the Rfam family "Bacterial small subunit ribosomal RNA", at positions 338 to 951 of the family's 1533-position model. The record is from RNAcentral.
CCUACGGGAGGCAGCAGUGAGGAAUAUUGGACAAUGGGCGCAAGCCUGAUCCAGCCAUGCCGCGUGCAGGAAGAAGCAUCUAUGGUGUGUAAGCUGCUUUUGUACAGGAAGAAACACUCCCUCGUGAGGGAGCUUGACGGUACUGUAAGAAUAAGGACCGGCUAACUCCGUGCCAGCAGCCGCGGUAAUACGGAGGGUCCGAGCGUUAUCCGGAAUCAUUGGGUUUAAAGGGUCCGUAGGCGGUUUAAUAAGUCAGUGGUGAAAUCUGGUCGCUCAACGAUCAAACGGCCAUUGAUACUGUUAGACUUGAAUUAUAAGGAAGUAACUAGAAUAUGUAGUGUAGCGGUGAAAUGCUUAGAUAUUACAUGGAAUACCAAUUGCGAAGGCAGGUUACUACUUAUGGAUUGACGCUGAUGGACGAAAGCGUGGGGAGCGAACAGGAUUAGAUACCCUGGUAGUCCACGCCGUAAACGAUGGAUACUAGCUUGUUCGGAGCAAUCUGAGUGGCUAAGCGAAAGUGAUAAGUAUCCCACCUGGGGAGUACGUUCGCAAGAAUGAAACUCAAAGGAAUUGACCGGNNGAGAGAGCGAGACGACGACGAGGGAGGAGG